UGCGGGGUCGUCUAAUGGCAAGACGCGGGCCUCUGGAGCCCGUUAUCAAGGUUCGAGUCCUUGCCCCGCAG
RNAcentral lists this transfer RNA (71 nucleotides) under Candidatus Rokuibacteriota bacterium. Its description in RNAcentral is "Candidatus Rokubacteria bacterium tRNA-Gln". It matches the Rfam family "tRNA". From Rfam's summary of the family: Transfer RNA (tRNA) molecules are approximately 80 nucleotides in length. RNAcentral also lists the same sequence under 1 other name. Lineage: Bacteria; Candidatus Rokuibacteriota. The record is from RNAcentral.